Molecule: ribosomal RNA, 290 nt
Filed under: uncultured bacterium
Lineage: Bacteria
Description: partial 16S ribosomal RNA
Rfam family: Bacterial small subunit ribosomal RNA
Source: RNAcentral
UUUCCUACGGGGGGCAGCAGUGAGGAAUAUUGGCCAAUGGGCGGGAGCCUGAACCAGCCAAGUCGCGUGAGGGAAGACGGUCCUAUGGAUUGUAAACCUCUUUAGGCGGGGAGCAAUGCCGGGCACGUGUGCCCGGAGGGAGAGUACCCGCAGAAUAAGCAUCGGCUAACUCCGUGCCAGCAGCCGCGGUAAUACGGAGGAUCCAAGCGUUAUCCGGAUUUAUUGGGUUUAAAGGGUGCGUAGGCGGUUUUAUAAGUUAGAGGUGAAAUCUCGGGGCUCAACUCCGAAAU